RNAcentral lists this long non-coding RNA (1802 nucleotides) under Mus musculus (house mouse). RNAcentral describes it as "RIKEN cDNA D330050G23 gene (D330050G23Rik)". The record is from RNAcentral. Lineage: Eukaryota; Metazoa; Chordata; Mammalia; Rodentia; Muridae.
AGGUCUGUCCCUGUCCACAGCCCACUUCCGACUGCGGGAAUCAGAACUCACUGGUUCAGUCUGUACUGAUCCUGGGACUACAGCGUACCCGCACUAGAAGACCGCAUGUGUGAAAUCCUGAACCAGCGUCCAAAGCCUGUGGGAGAUGAGGUGGCUCGCAGAACCUUCCAGAAAUGCCAUAUAGGUUGGAAACAGUUCCUCUUUAGCGUCCUGUUCCCUUCUUGUAACAUCUGGUGCUGCUGAAGUCCACCUGAGAUACCUAAGAGUCAGACAUUGGCCUGCUGCUGACUUCUUCAUAUCCAGAAACAAACAUAAAGAUAAACCAGGAAAAUUAUCACCAAGCCACUGCUCAUUGAGUCCUUAGCCGCCUCCAUUCUCCACUAUCUUGGUGCCACUAAACUGUCCAUCUGCACUAAACUGCCUACUUAGUGACCAUAUGGACUGUGCUUCGUUUGAUACUGAAUCUUCAGAGCCUGCAGUAAUGUCUGGCAGACGAUUGUCACUCCAUAAAUGCAUUUGGAAAAGCACACACGCAUGCUUACCUAAUUAAAAUCUUCAUGAGCAUGACGGUAACUUUCAUAAGAAGGUUCCCACUCGGUUUAUCAUUUGAGACCAUGUAACCAGGAUUGUUAACCUCUGGAAAUGAAGUUCUCACAGAUAUUCCUUCAGUAAAAGAAUCUUAGGUAACCUCCUACCAGCCUUCCUGUCCACCCACCAGAAAAUACAUCCAUCCCACUAAGAUGGUACAAGCAUGGGUCCUAGCUUUGUUAUGUCUUGGCUUCCACAACCUUUUCUCUAACUACCUUAGCCUGCCAUCCACAGUCUGCACGUAGUCACCUUUGAUAUAGACUGCCCUGUGUUAUUUCUUUCUAAGCAUGUCAUUGCUGUCAGGAUUUCCACACCUACAUAUCCCAAGGGAAUAGGGACAGGAUUUUACCUUUAAUACAUGUUAUAAUGAUUUUCAUGUACUAGACCUUCAGUGAACACUUUUUUUUGGAGAAAAAGAAAAUUUAAAUAAAGAGUGUUUGGGAAGGACAUUAUUAAAUCAUAAGUUAAGAUGCUGGAGAGAUGGCUCAGUGGUUAGGAGCACUGGCUGCUCUUCUAGAGGAGCUAUGUUGGUUCCCACCCCAUCCCCCACUUAGUAACUAACAACCAUUCAAACUCCAGCCCCAGGGAAUCUGACACACUCUUCAGGCCUCUGUAGACCCCAGGCAUGUAGGUAGUGUGCAUAAAUACAUUUAAACAAGAUAAUUAUAUACAUAAAAUAAAAGUAUUUUUUAAUAAAAAGAUGGUUGACUUCUCGUCCCAGGUCAACCAACUCAACAUUGUUCUUCACUUUUCCAUUGGCAAACUGGGAACAAAGCAGACCCAUUACAGACACUCGAACACACACUUGAGUUUUGUGGUGAUAAUGAGUUAUGUGUGUUUAGUAUAAUUGUUUGCCUAUGCAUUUAUCAGAAGCAGCUCAAAUUCUCAAGCUCAUAGGUAGCAGGCUAGUCAAGUGAUUUCAAGAGCUCAGAAGCAAGUCACUAGCUGCUGACUAAUCCCGCCUGUGUAAGGCUCAUCUGUUGGAAUCUGCCCUCUGAGUUAUGCCAGCCUAGGGCACCCGGGCUGAUGGUGGUGUUAUAAUCAGUCAUUUAAAAAGAAAAAUACAUCUACCUUUGCAGACUCAGUUCUUUCACAGAUUAAUUUCUCCAUUAAUAUCUUAAAUAUAAGUAUUUUAGAAGAAAGGAUAAUAACACAGGUUCUGUUUGUGGAGUCAUUUUCUGAAGAAAAAAAAAUAAACACAGUCAAGGUCAUUG